This is a non-coding RNA of Cyprinodon tularosa, 875 nucleotides long. Lineage: Eukaryota; Metazoa; Chordata; Actinopteri; Cyprinodontiformes; Cyprinodontidae. The record is from the annotation of a RefSeq genome assembly.
UGUUAUUAUGCAAAUGAUUGGUUCUGGUUUAAAGUCUUGAUCUGAUGCUGUGAGGCUGCAGAAGAAGAGAAACUCCCAUCAGAUCAUCUUCAACACCAACAUGUUCUCUGUAGCUCUGCUGCUGCUGCUGGCUGCUGGAUCCUAUGUAUCAUGUGAAACUCUGACUCAGCCAGCAUCUUUAAUUGUGCAGCCAGGUCAACGUCUGACCAUCAGAUGUCAGGUCUCUUAUUCUUUGGGCAGCUACACAGCUUGGAUCAGACAGGCUGCUGGGAAAGGACUGGAAUGGAUUGGGAUGAAAUAUACUGGCUACUCGUACUACAAAGACUCACUGAAGAACAAGUUCAGUAUUGACUUAGACACUUCAAGUAAAACAGUGACUCUAAAUGGACAGAAUAUGCAGCCUGAAGACUCUGCUGUGUAUUACUGUGCCAGAGACACAGUGACACAAACAAGCAGCAGAGCUGUACAAAAACCCCUCAGAGCCUGAAUGGUAGUUAUAUGUAAUCACCAGAGGAGGCGCUCUAAGACCAUUUUUUGUGGUUGUUUAAUUUGAAAGAAAGUUAUCAACCUCAAACUGAAAUGUUGAGCAGUUAUAAUAACAAUAACAACUGAAAAUAUUAUUAUGUAGUUCCUUUACAUACUGUAUACCGUUUUUCUCAAUUAUUAUGCAAAUUAGCAGUCUCUGCUGUGUAUUUCUGUCCUGUUGUCCGGUUUGUAGUUUGUGUCUCCAGCAUCAGUGUGAUGAACUCACUCUAUGUUCUUCUUUUCCUUUUCUUACACUGAGUUUGCAAAACUCAAUUUCCAAAUGACCAACACACUCCUAGAAUAAAUAUAAAAAAUAUAUGGCUAUAAUUUAUGCUAUUUUGCCAACUGUC